GAUGAAGAACGUAGCGAAAUGCGAUACUUGGUGUGAAUUGCAGAAUCCCGCGAAUCAUCGAGUUUUUGAACGCAAGUUGCGCCCGAAGCCAUUCGGCCGAGGGCACGUCUGCCUGGGUGUCACGCAUCGUUGCCCCCCCAAACUCCGGUUCGGGCGGGGCGGAAGUUGGCCUCCCGUGCGUGCCUGCGCGCGCGGUUAGCCCAAAAGCGAGUCCUCGGCGACGAGCGCCACGACAAUCGGUGGUUUUUUUACCCUCGUUCCUCGUCGUGCGUGCCCCGUCGCCCGAACGCGCUCUUGCGACCCUUACGCGUCGCCUCGGCGGCGCUCCCAACGCGACCCCAGGUCAGGCGGGACUACCCGCUGAGUUUAAGCAUAUCAAUAAGCGGAGGA
Molecule: unclassified non-coding RNA, 390 nt
Filed under: soil metagenome
Description: partial contains 5.8S ribosomal RNA, internal transcribed spacer 2, and large subunit ribosomal RNA
Rfam family: 5.8S ribosomal RNA (bases 1-122)
Source: RNAcentral